GAUGAACGCUGGCGGCGUGCCUAACACAUGCAAGUCGAACGAAGUCUAUGGAGCUUGCUUCAUAAACUUAGUGGCGGACGGGUGAGUAACGCGUGAGUAAUCUGCCUCAAGCGUGGGGGAUAACACAUGGAAACGUGUGCUAAUACCGCAUAAGAUAGCAGCUUCGCAUGGAGCAGCUAUUAAAGUUUUUUCGGCUUGAGAUGAGCUCGCGUCUGAUUAGCUAGUUGGUGGGGAAACGGCCUACCAAGGCGACGAUCAGUAGCCGGACUGAGAGGUCGAACGGCCACAUUGGGACUGAGACACGGCCCAG
Molecule: ribosomal RNA, 310 nt
Filed under: uncultured bacterium
Lineage: Bacteria
Description: bacterial SSU rRNA
Rfam family: Bacterial small subunit ribosomal RNA
Source: RNAcentral